UUAGAUAUUAAUUUAGAAUCCUCUAAAUGUAAUUAGAUCUACUAUUGUAAUUUGUUGAUCUGAAUUGAUCUGCAAGUAUUUUCAUUUUGAGUUUCCGGUAAACUCUUUGUUUCCUUUCAUGUGUCCAACCAAUUAUUAUUGGGUUAUUCACCAUGGCAACCAGUGAAAUGUAUUUCUGAGUUAGGUUGGCUUGUUUUCAGAAUUCACAACGAAAUGCCUCCAGCUGUCCAUCACCACUGUAAAUAUAAAGAGUGGUUAUAGAGGAAAAAACGUCAGAAAGCAAAUUCAGUUGAUGUGGAGCAGAAGACAAGAAAGAAGAAGGAGAGGGGCACUUCAUCCCCCUCUCCAAUUCCAUCUGACCGUUCUGAACGGAAUGGCUCCGCUACCUCUGACCCCUCACCCUCUGACCAACUCUCCUCCCUCCAUCCACCUCCCUCUCCUGUUAAAUGUUCCUCUCAGCCUUGCUCUCCUGCUAAACAACUCUUUGUACCCCGGUCACCUGCCAAAAACCCUUCCCCAGUGAAUUCCUCUCCAGUGGUGUCCCACCCUAGUUCUCCCUCUCCUACCAACCCUCUGGACCGUCAUGGAGACACCAGUCAGGAGGGCACAACAGUCAGACCUCUGUCUCUUCAGGAACACUCUAGUCCAAUGCCCCAGAGACCAGUCUCAGCCACCAGAAGCAUGACUCUUCCCAGGGCCAGCUCAGCCACCAGAAGCAUGACUCUUCCCAGGGCCAGCUCAGCCACCAGAGGGUCAGAAGAGACCCAGGGGGCCAGAGGAGAACGGGGGGAACUGGUCAACAUGGAACUUCUUGGGUUGCCUAACAUUGGCAACACUUGCUUCCUUAACGCCACCCUGCAGUGCCUCCUGGUCCUGCCUUCCUUCUCAAAGGAAAUCCUGCACCAGGAACAACUCUGGAGCUCCUCCCCCUUCUCCAAUCUGCUCAGGUGUCUGUCUGAUGUGCACCGUUCGGGUUUACCUGACAGUGUGGCAAACCAGGCCUCAAAAGCAGACCUCAUGUGGAAGGUCAAGUACUCCUUGUCGGGAUACGAUUUGAAGUAUCUGGGGGACACGCAACAGGACGCACACGAGUUACUUGUCAAUAUGCUGUGCCAGCUGAAGGAGGAGGGCAUGAUUCUGAAGACACUCGGGAUGAACUAUACCUGCCCUGUUUCCCAGCUGGAGUUCCAGCUUGUGUCGGUGCGCACAUGUACCAGCUGUGGGCGCGAGUCGUCCACCAGAGAGGACUACAACCACCUCUCAUUGGACAUCAGCCCUGAGCGCACCUUGCUGAACAGCCUAGCACUCACUUUCAAAAGUGAACAGGUUGAAUUCACAUGUGAGGGCUGUAAAGGCCUCCACGCCUCAAAGGUGGAGCAGUUCCACACACUGCCUCUUGUGCUGGUUCUGCAUCUGAAGAGGUUUGGAGGACCUGGGGGGUUGGAGAAGCUGGAGGCUCCUUUUUUGUUUCCUUCGGAGCUGAGGCUCUCCACCCUCUGUGGGGACAUGGUGCCACACCUGCACAGUGCCAGCCCACAGGCCCUCACCAACCAGGCCCCCAGCAUCCAGGGGUCCAUCCCCCAGACCCUCGCCAGCCAAGUCUCCAGAACACCUGGAGCGGCAAAAGACAGCGCCCUCUGCUGUUCAGAAGCAGAAGCCAGUACAGUCAGUGAAUGGUUACUACCAGCUGACUGGCGUAGUCUCUCAUUUGGGAGGCUCCGCAAACUCCGGGCACUACAUUAGUGACAUAUUGCAUGCCAGUGGAAACUGGUUCUGCUGUAAUGACAGCCAGGUGUCAAUGUCCAAUGAAGCCACUGUGCUGAGGACCAGAGCCCGGAGUGCCUACAUGCUCUUCUAUAUGUUCAGGGCAAUAGAGCGGGAGGCCCCAGCACACAGGGCCUAACAGGGCCACCAGCAUCAGCCCCAGCCUAAACAGGGGCAGCACCUGGACCAGCCUCCAAACACUCACACACCUGCCUCAAAAGGGGUAGCACUUGGCCCAACAUCAACAACCCCGAGCCCAGCCACAACAGGGGCAGCACUGGGCCCAACAUCAACACACCCAGCCCAGCCUCAACAUGGGAAGAACCAGGCCCAGUCUCAACAUGGGCAGAACAAGACCCAGCCCCAACACCCUCAGACUUGCCUCAAUGAUGUGAUUGAGAUGCUUAAUAUCAACGAUGUUUACAAUGACGCCACACCCUUACUGUACCAUUGUGACCUGUCACUAUUAAAGGCUGUGUGACGUGA
Molecule: non-coding RNA, 2250 nt
Organism: Oncorhynchus mykiss (rainbow trout)
Lineage: Eukaryota; Metazoa; Chordata; Actinopteri; Salmoniformes; Salmonidae
Source: RefSeq, a predicted model, not a curated record